UCGAACGCUGAAGCCUGGUGCUUGCACCGGGUGGAUGAGUGGCGAACGGGUGAGUAACACGUGAGUAACCUGCCCCUGACUUCGGGAUAAGCCCGGGAAACUGGGUCUAAUACCGGAUACGACCGUCGGACGCAUGUCUGGUGGUGGAAAGUUUUUUCGGUUGGGGAUGGGCUCGCGGCCUAUCAGUUUGUUGGUGAGGUAAUGGCUCACCAAGACGACGACGGGUAGCCGGCCUGAGAGGGCGACCGGCCACACUGGGACUGAGACACGGCCCACACUCCUACGGGAGGCAGCAGUGGGGAAUAUUGCACAAUGGGGGAAACCCUGAUGCAGCGACGCAGCGUGCGGGAUGACGGCCUUCGGGUUGUAAACCGCUUUCAGCAGGGAAGAAGCGCAAGUGACGGUACCUGCAGAAGAAGUACCGGCUAACUACGUGCCAGCAGCCGCGGUAAUACGUAGGGUACGAGCGUUGUCCGGAAUUAUUGGGCGUAAAGAGCUCGUAGGUGGUUGGUCACGUCUGCUGUGGAAACGCAACGCUUAACGUUGCGCGUGCAGUGGGUACGGGCUGACUAGAGUGCAGUAGGGGAGUCUGGAAUUCCUGGUGUAGCGGUGAAAUGCGCAGAUAUCACGAGGAACACCGGUGGCGAAGGCGGGACUCUGGGCUGUAACUGACACUGAGGAGCGAAAGCAUGGGGAGCGAACAGGAUUAGAUACCCUGGUAGUCCAUGCCGUAAACGUUGGGCACUAGUGUGGGGGGCAUUCCACGUUCUCCGCGCCGUAGCUAACGCAUUAAGUGCCCCGCCUGGGGAGUACGGUCGCAAGGCUAAAACUCA
RNAcentral lists this ribosomal RNA (833 nucleotides) under uncultured bacterium. Its description in RNAcentral is "bacterial SSU rRNA". It matches the Rfam family "Bacterial small subunit ribosomal RNA", at positions 62 to 903 of the family's 1533-position model. The record is from RNAcentral.